ACAAAGAACAAGAUCUCAAAAGAGAACCCGUGCCCACAUUAGGUUCCAUAUCCAAGAUACCACGCGACACUCCAUAGCCCAUACAAUCGAUUUGGCAUCUCAUUAUAAGGACCACAGAGACCGGUUCAAUGUUCGUCGACGCUGCAUGCAACAUAUUACGAAAAUGAUCUUUAGUUCAAACCAAACAAUGCCUUCAAUUAGGUAUGCAACACAGGAACCCACUAAACGCCCACAACAAAUAAGCCAUGAAGCUCAACUGAAGAGGUACGAACGCAUGGAAGUUGCUGCGCAAGCAGACAAUCAACCACCCGUAACAUACCAAUCACCACUCAUGCACCUUUAGGGUAAGACAUCCCCGAAGAUUGCCAGAGUUACAACCACCUCCUCGGCAUCAAUGCCAAGAAAA
This 406-nucleotide unclassified non-coding RNA is filed under the name Rhagadiolus stellatus. Its description in RNAcentral is "partial external transcribed spacer". Lineage: Eukaryota; Viridiplantae; Streptophyta; Magnoliopsida; Asterales; Asteraceae. The record is from RNAcentral.